UACGGAGGGGGCUAGCGUUGUUCGGAAUUACUGGGCGUAAAGCGCACGUAGGCGGCUCUGUAAGUUAGAGGUGAAAGCCCAGGGCUCAACCCUGGAAUUGCCUUUAAGACUGCAUCGCUUGAACAUCGGAGAGGUAAGUGGAAUUCCGAGUGUAGAGGUGAAAUUCGUAGAUAUUCGGAAGAACACCAGUGGCGAAGGCGACUUACUGGACGAUUGUUGACGCUGAGGUGCGAAAGCGUGGGGAGCAAACAGG
This 253-nucleotide ribosomal RNA is filed under the name uncultured bacterium. RNAcentral describes it as "partial 16S ribosomal RNA". It matches the Rfam family "Bacterial small subunit ribosomal RNA", at positions 524 to 776 of the family's 1533-position model. The record is from RNAcentral.